RNAcentral lists this ribosomal RNA (275 nucleotides) under Eudorylaimus sp. MRR-2011. RNAcentral's name for it is "partial 28S ribosomal RNA". It matches the Rfam family "Eukaryotic large subunit ribosomal RNA", at positions 688 to 944 of the family's 3401-position model. Lineage: Eukaryota; Metazoa; Nematoda; Enoplea; Dorylaimida; Qudsianematidae. The record is from RNAcentral.
GAGCUAUAGGCGGAAACCUAUAAGCGCAAUAAAAGUGAACGCUGUUUCGGACAGCCGAGGUACGAUCCUAGAUUCGCUCUAGGCGCAGUACCGUCUCAUCCCUAAGGCACGUCCUAAGGGUGAAGACAGAGUGCAUACGUUGGGACCCGAAAGAUGGUGAACUAUGCCUGAGCAGAGCGAAGCCAGAGGAAACUCUGGUGGAGGUUCGUAGCGGUUCUGACGUGCAAAUCGAUCGUCAGACUUGGGUAUAGGGGCGAAAGACUAAUCGAACCAUC